GACGCCAUCAUGGUGAAGGUGAGGAAGAAGAAGUCGAAAUCAGCCUUGAGACCGGAUUGCACAUUUCGAGCUAUGGCAUCCUCAUCCUCGUUCGCUCGUCAGCAUCAGUAGCCCACCGAAGUUCUCAAGGUUGAUUUUGACUUCUUCCUCACCUCGGCCAUGUUGAUGUGUGCUGAUUCUUUGGCAAUGAUUUGCUCCUGUUGUACUUGCAGCUGAAAAAAAAGAAUACGUGUUCGUGCAUGCUAUCUAUCAGAGACCAUGCAGUACAAUUAAUUCACAAAG
RNAcentral lists this long non-coding RNA (282 nucleotides) under Musa acuminata (dwarf banana). Its description in RNAcentral is "long non-coding RNA (MACU_LNC005656)". Lineage: Eukaryota; Viridiplantae; Streptophyta; Magnoliopsida; Zingiberales; Musaceae. The record is from RNAcentral.